AAACCCACAACCUCAUGGUUCCUAGUCGGAUUCGUUAACCACUGCGCCACAACGGGAACUCCAGUAUUAAGGUUUUUAACACAACAUUCUUCAUGACAUUUUUAUAUUUAAAGACAACAAAACAACUGAACGCUGUUACCUGCCUACAUGUCUUCACCAUGAAAAACACUUGUGAAGGUCUGAUUAGAAUUGGAGUUGGUCACCUGAAGGGGUGGGGCUCAUUGAAAUGCUGUAUUGUAGGAGAAGAUUGGGUUGCGGUGUUACAAUACAUUCUUCAUGACAAUAAACAAUAGAUAGAUACCAGAAAUAGCAGGCAGGAGUUGUGCUUAAAGACACAGGUAACUGGACACAUUUCCGAUGACUCUCUCUCUGGGUUGGAGUGAACUGUGAGAGGGCCUGUCUACUCCUUUAAAGAGAAUUUGAAUUAGGAUUUUAAUAAAAAAAGUCCAACUCAUAUUGGUACCGCUCCUCCUAAGUCAGUCUCCUACAAAGGUCUGUCUGUCUGGCGUCAUUUAGGCCAACAGAAGGGACUGAGUUUAAUUCAGAAGCAAAGGAAAGCUUUAUUUUUUGGUCAGAGAAUGGAGAGGUGUGAGAUCCUGCCCUAGAGCCCUCGGUCCCCCCUCCCCCAGGCCGUGGGCUUGGCGGCUUUAUUGGGAUCUAGUCUGCAGAGGGGGAGGGGCGGAGUGCUCACAGGUGGACUGCUGCGCUGGGGCGGGGCAUCUCAGCACGAGGCCUGCGCCCGCCAUCUUGAAUCAAGCGGUUGUGCUGUGCAGAGCUUCCGCGGGCGGUUGGCUGAGCUGAGGUCCCCGUUUCUUAUAAGGUACUCUGGUCAGAAGUGUCGGGGGUUCGAGGCCUCGCUGCAUGUGGUACCCUAUGAACAAGUGAAACUAGACUGAGCGCAAAGGAAAAAAAAAAAGUGAGAGAUCUAAAACUGGAGGGAGUUUGAAUCAGCAAGCAGAUGUGAAAAAACAGAAAGAUCUUUCUUGCUGUUCAUAAAAUCAUAUAGCCAAGGGAAAGAAAGGUCUCCAGCUGGAAAGGAAGGGUGCUUAAAGAACUUUAGUUGAAGCAUCUCAGUUAAGGAGCCCCAUCCACUUGAUUUAGAUGAUUCCCAUGGACUUUGAGCUGUUGCUAUGAUGGAGUGAGACUUGAUAGUCUUGAUGGUGGGGAUGGAGGUGGUUUGUAUGUUUAAGAGAUGUGAAUUAUAGUGGCCAGAGGGCGGACUUUAGCAGACUGUAUUUCACAUGUUGACAGCAAAAAUAAAAUCACCUAUCUUUUA
Sus scrofa (pig) is the source of this 1276-nucleotide non-coding RNA. The record is from RefSeq and is a predicted model, not a curated record. NCBI's taxonomy places the organism in Eukaryota, Metazoa, Chordata, Mammalia, Artiodactyla, Suidae.